Molecule: ribosomal RNA, 419 nt
Filed under: bacterium
Lineage: Bacteria
Description: partial 16S ribosomal RNA
Rfam family: Bacterial small subunit ribosomal RNA
Source: RNAcentral
UGGGGGAUAUUGCACAAUGGGCGAAAGCCUGAUGCAGCGACGCCGCGUGGGGGAUGAAGGCCUUCGGGUUGUAAACUUCUUUUGCUCUGAACAAGGCGCACCAUGGGGUGUGUUGAGUGUAGGGGUUGAUUAGCGCCGGCUAACUACGUGCCAGCAGCCGCGGUAAUACGUAGGGCGCGAGCGUUGUCCGGAAUUAUUGGGCGUAAAGGGCUUGUAGGUGGCUGGUUGCGUCUGUCGUGAAAGCUCAUGGCUUAACUGUGGGUUUGCGGUGGGUACGGGCUGGCUUGAGUGCAGUAGGGGAGGCUGGAAUUCCUGGUGUAGCGGUGGAAUGCGCAGAUAUCAGGAGGAAUACCGGUGGCGAAGGCGGGUCUCUGGGCUGUUACUAACACUGAGGAGCGAAAGCAUGGGGAGCGAACAGG